This 23-nucleotide non-coding RNA is filed under the name Cricetulus griseus (Chinese hamster). Lineage: Eukaryota; Metazoa; Chordata; Mammalia; Rodentia; Cricetidae. The record is from RNAcentral.
AUGACGAGUUCUUUGAGGAAGUC